CUUUUUUUUUAAUUUCAAAAACCGCUACUCUUCUUUACUCAUUUUCCCAUAUUUUCUUCCUUUUUACUCCUCACUUUUUCUGUACCAGAAAAUAUCUAGAGCAAACAAGCGCAGGGCUCACACUUGGGAACUAAAUCUUACAUAUCUUAUUAGCAUGCUGAUCUGCUUCCACAACACACAGAUAGAGAAGCUGUUCUGGGAAAGCAUUCUCCAGGCGCCAAUUUGCUGGAAAAGCAACUUUAUUUAUGACCCUGUCACUCUGAGGUCCCUAUUUAGUAUCACUGUCAGGGAAAUGAUUUAGUAUUUUCCAGCCUGCCUUCCCAUUAGCUUGAUAACAGCAAAUUGUUUACCUAUUUAAAAUGGAAAUCUUUUCUGCUUGAAGCGCUUGCAUUCUGCACUUCGUAUAAUAAUAUACAGAGGUAUAAACUGUAUUUGGGAGCAUGGCGCUCCUGUCUUGGUAGCAUCUUACACUUGUCUAGUGCAGAGGUUAAUUAGUGCUACAGGGAGAGCUCGGGUCAGGAAAAGCUGACUCUGAAAAUGGCAUGAUGUACUUCCACAUUUUCAGUACCAGUUCUCUCUGUACCAGUGGUGUGCUUUUGAGAAGUAAAAUCACAUUCUCUUCUUGAUGCUGGACCUCACUGCACCAAAACAGGGUUUCUGCUUGUGUCUGCUGCCACCAGUUCAGCUCUGCUGAUGCACUUGUAAACAACAAGGUCAAAGGCCGCUGAUAACUUGGCUGUGGUGCACAAGAACAGACUGUGGCAUGGCCAGAUUUCUUAUGUGACUUUCUGUAAGGAACGGUCUUAGCAGGGGGUUGGAUUCAAUGAUCUCCAACACUUAAGAAUCUGUGAUUCCGUGGCAUAUAAAAAUAUUCCAUGCUGUAGGCUCCUGUUGCUUAACACUUGCAGGCUGUGAAGCCAAGGUCUAGCACUGGAAAGACACAAAUCCAGAGUGUCUGAUCACAACUCUUGCCCUUGGCAGCAUGAAGACCCGUCAAACACCUGCAUCUUUGGCAAGCCCUCCACCUAGCAGACACCACAUAAGCCAUAAUCACUCUUCCUCCCUCCAACCCUUGGCUAUUGCCAUGUUUUCCAGUUCUGAUCUGCAAGCAGCAACCAUGAGAAAGAUGAGAUGCAUCCAGGAACAUCCACUGUAUUCCAGUGGUGUAUGUCACUGCUUUACGGUGGAGUUGGGAAUGCAAGUGUGGUAGAAGAGCUAUGUUUUACAUAAUUUAAAAAAUAGUUUUAUAGCAAUGCUAGAGAAUAUGCAAAGACUGAGCCUAUGUGAGAAGGAAGCUAGAUUACAUAAGUCACUUGGUCCAUCUCUGAUGUUUUCAUGUUUUCCUAAGCACUUUUAAAAGGCAAUUUCUGUGCCUGGUUUUUCCUCCAAAUGCCUAUAUAUCCACCUCUUCAUUCAAUCUUCUGAAGUGGAACUUAACAGUUCAUAGAAAGUAGCUUUUGCUUUAGAGGAGUAAGCAAAGGUCAUCAUCUAUGCUGUGGUUCAAGAUCACCCCAUCUUUGGUAUACUCUAAUGAAUGUAACAGCUAGAGGAGGGUGAGAGAAAAAAUAGCUCUAAAAAUCAGACUUGUAGGCAUUCUCCUAACAAACUGAAAAAUAAAAGAGCUCAGAGCAACAGGGUAACUGAAGGUACCAGUGCUUUAGGGUGUAUUUCAGAUAAGUGUGCCUUUAAAAGCAGCUAGACAAAUAGAAGAGAAUGACUUCUGGAGCAGAAGUACAUUUCAGCAGCUAUGGAAAGACCGACAAUCAGGAAAAGAAGAGAGACAUCAUCAGCCUCUGCCCUGGAAGUGAGCAGGUUCUGGAUCCACAAGGAUGAAGUGCACACACAAACUUAGCAGAGCUGUCAGAGAAAGAUCCUCCACGUUGUACUUGCCUUGAAGGCAAGUCACCCACUGAGCAGAUUUCACUUUCCUGUCCAGGCAGUACAAAGCAGCCCCUUCAGCAAAGGGAUUUCCUUCUGCCUGCAGACCAGUUCUGACUUCACUGUCAGGGUGCCCACAACAUACCUUGUUACAGGGCAGAGUCUGAAAGCUUCACCCAGAUGGAGAAACACACAGGGGACAAGAGACUGCGCAAGGAGUGGCUGCACCUCUACAACCUCCUCAUGAGGACUUGGCUCGUUCAAACACUGGAUGGAUCUGCUAGGACUGCCUCUGAUGCCACAAUCUUUCACAGGUUGUUUUAUCCCUGAUGUAUUUUUAUGAAAGAAUGAAUAAAUAAACGUCAG
This is a non-coding RNA of Meleagris gallopavo (turkey), 2244 nucleotides long. The record is from RefSeq and is a predicted model, not a curated record. Lineage: Eukaryota; Metazoa; Chordata; Aves; Galliformes; Phasianidae.